Molecule: ribosomal RNA, 448 nt
Filed under: uncultured bacterium
Lineage: Bacteria
Description: bacterial SSU rRNA
Rfam family: Bacterial small subunit ribosomal RNA
Source: RNAcentral
CUCCAGACUCCUACGGGAGGCAGCAGUGGGGAAUAUUGCACAAUGGGGGAAACCCUGAUGCAGCGACGCCGCGUGAGCGAUGAAGUAUUUCGGUAUGUAAAGCUCUAUCAGCAGGGAAGAAGAUGACGGUACCUGACUAAGAAGCCCCGGCUAACUACGUGCCAGCAGCCGCGGUAAUACGUAGGGGGCAAGCGUUAUCCGGAUUUACUGGGUGUAAAGGGAGCGUAGACGGCGAUGCAAGCCAGAUGUGAAAGCCCGGGGCUCAACCCCGGGACUGCAUUUGGAACUGUGUGGCUGGAGUGUCGGAGAGGCAGGCGGAAUUCCUAGUGUAGCGGUGAAAUGCGUAGAUAUUAGGAGGAACACCAGUGGCGAAGGCGGCCUGCUGGACGAUGACUGACGUUGAGGCUCGAAAGCGUGGGGAGCAAACAGGAUUAGAUACCCUCGUAUG